GGACGAACGCUGGCGGCGUGCCUAAUACAUGCAAGUAGAACGCUGAAGACUUUAGCUUGCUAAAGUUGGAAGAGUUGCGAACGGGUGAGUAACGCGUAGGUAACCUGCCUACUAGCGGGGGAUAACUAUUGGAAACGAUAGCUAAUACCGCAUAACAGCAUUUAACACAUGUUAGAUGCUUGAAAGGAGCAAUUGCUUCACUAGUAGAUGGACCUGCGUUGUAUUAGCUAGUUGGUGAGGUAACGGCUCACCAAGGCGACGAUACAUAGCCGACCUGAGAGGGUGAUCGGCCACACUGGGACUGAGACACGGCCCAGACUCCUACGGGAGGCAGCAGUAGGGAAUCUUCGGCAAUGGGGGCAACCCUGACCGAGCAACGCCGCGUGAGUGAAGAAGGUUUUCGGAUCGUAAAGCUCUGUUGUAAGAGAAGAACGUGUGUGAGAGUGGAAAGUUCACACAGUGACGGUAACUUACCAGAAAGGGACGGCUAACUACGUGCCAGCCGCAGC
RNAcentral lists this ribosomal RNA (509 nucleotides) under uncultured bacterium. RNAcentral describes it as "bacterial SSU rRNA". It matches the Rfam family "Bacterial small subunit ribosomal RNA", at positions 27 to 518 of the family's 1533-position model. The record is from RNAcentral.